CAAAGCUGGAAAUAAUGAUGCUUCAGGAGAAGCAGAAGCUUCAAGCCCUGCGUGUGAGCUAAAAACUUUCUGCUGCGGCUUCUAAUCAGAUCUUCUGAAGGAAGUUGUAAGAGGCCCUGGAACAUUUUGGAGUUUAAGUAUCAUGUAGAAAUGAGCUGCAUUUCCAAUCCCUAAUUUCAACUACAGCUAACAAAAGGGUUUAAAAAGCCUUUCCUUUCCUGCUCUGAGACGGAAAUGCUCUUCUGGAGCAGUUAAUUCAAUCAGUCGUCCACAAACAAACGACCUCAUAAAUCAAAGGAACCCAAGGAGAGACCAGCACGGAAAUUGCAAGGAGAGUGACAAAAGUCGUCUUACUGACUUGCCGCAAGACCUGGGUUUAGCUCUCCGAAGGCAGGACUGGCCCAAAGGCUCCUGCAGCAUGACGUGACUCGGGCUAAAAGGGGUCCAACAGACUGUUUUCGACUCAACCAGAGGAAAUUGGCCAUUGCAGGCUGUAUGCUAAAUGAUUAAUUAUUUGGGCAAUUUAAGGCUGAAUUAAGGAA
This is a non-coding RNA of Struthio camelus australis, 542 nucleotides long. NCBI's taxonomy places the organism in Eukaryota, Metazoa, Chordata, Aves, Struthioniformes, Struthionidae. The record is from RefSeq and is a predicted model, not a curated record.